RNAcentral lists this ribosomal RNA (377 nucleotides) under uncultured bacterium. RNAcentral's name for it is "bacterial SSU rRNA". It matches the Rfam family "Bacterial small subunit ribosomal RNA", at positions 523 to 898 of the family's 1533-position model. The record is from RNAcentral.
AUACGUAGGUGGCGAGCGUUGUCCGGAUUUACUGGGUGUAAAGGGCGUGUAGGCGGGAAUGUAAGUCAGAUGUGAAACUCCGGGGCUCAACCUCGGAACUGCAUCUGAAACUAUGUUUCUUGAGUGCUGGAGAGGAAAGCGGAAUUCCUAGUGUAGCGGUGAAAUGCGUAGAUAUUAGGAGGAACACCAGUGGCGAAGGCGGCUUUCUGGACAGUAACUGACGCUGAGGCGCGAAAGCGUGGGGAGCAAACAGGAUUAGAUACCCUGGUAGUCCACGCUGUAAACGAUGGAUACUAGGUGUAGGAGGUAUCGACCCCUUCUGUGCCGGAGUUAACACAAUAAGUAUCCCACCUGGGGAGUACGGCCGCAAGGUUGAA